Molecule: ribosomal RNA, 460 nt
Filed under: uncultured bacterium
Lineage: Bacteria
Description: partial 16S ribosomal RNA
Rfam family: Bacterial small subunit ribosomal RNA
Source: RNAcentral
CCUACGGGGGGCAGCAGUGAGGAAUAUUGGUCAAUGGACGCAAGUCUGAACCAGCCAUGCCGCGUGCAGGAAGACGGCCCUAUGAGUUGUAAACUGCUUUUGUACGAGGGUAAACGCAGAUACGCGUAUCUGUCUGAAAGUAUCGUACGAAUAAGGAUCGGCUAACUCCGUGCCAGCAGCCGCGGUAAUACGGAGGAUUCAAGCGUUAUCCGGAUUUAUUGGGUUUAAAGGGUGCGUAGGCGGUCGGAUAAGUUAGAGGUGAAAUCCCGAGGCUCAACUUCGGAAUUGCCUAUGAUACUGUUCGUCUAGAGAGUAGUUGCGGUAGGCGGAAUGUAUGGUGUAGCGGUGAAAUGCUUAGAGAUCAUACAGAACACCGAUUGCGAAGGCAGCUUACCAAGCUACUACUGACGUUGAGGCACGAAAGCGUGGGGAGCAAACAGGAUUAGAUACCCCAGUAGUC